RNAcentral lists this ribosomal RNA (497 nucleotides) under uncultured bacterium. RNAcentral describes it as "partial 16S ribosomal RNA". It matches the Rfam family "Bacterial small subunit ribosomal RNA", at positions 28 to 507 of the family's 1533-position model. The record is from RNAcentral.
GAUGAACGCUGGCGGCGUGCCUAAUACAUGCAAGUCGAGCGAACAGACCAUGAGCUUGCUCCUCUGACGUUAGCGGCGGACGGUUGAGUAACACGUGGAUAACCUACCUAUAAGACUGGGAUAACUUCGGGAAACCGGAGCUAAUACCGGAUAAUAUAUUGAACCGCAUUGUUCAAUAGUGAAAGACGGUUUUGCUGUCACUUAUAGGUGGAUCCGCGCCGCAUUAGCUAGUUGGUAAGGUAACGGCUUACCAAGGCAACGAUGCGUAGCCGACCUGAGAGGGUGAUCGGCCACACUGGAACUGAGACACGGUCCAGACUCCUACGGGAGGCAGCAGUAGGGAAUCUUCCGCAAUGGGCGAAAGCCUGACGGAGCAACGCCGCGUGAGUGAUGAAGGUCUUCGGAUCGUAAAACUCUGUUAUUAGGGAAGAACAAAUGUGUAAGUAACUAUGCACGUCUUGACGGUACCUAAUCAGAAAGCCACGGCUAACUACGUG